RNAcentral lists this transfer RNA (64 nucleotides) under Antheraea formosana. Its description in RNAcentral is "tRNA-Cys". The record is from RNAcentral. Lineage: Eukaryota; Metazoa; Arthropoda; Insecta; Lepidoptera; Saturniidae.
AGUCUUAUAGUCAAGAAAAAUGAUAUAAAAUUGCAAAUUUUAAGGGGUAAAUAUACUAAGGCUU